Molecule: transfer RNA, 85 nt
Filed under: Felis catus (domestic cat)
Lineage: Eukaryota; Metazoa; Chordata; Mammalia; Carnivora; Felidae
Rfam family: tRNA
About the family: Transfer RNA (tRNA) molecules are approximately 80 nucleotides in length. Their secondary structure includes four short double-helical elements and three loops (D, anti-codon, and T loops).
Source: Rfam by way of RNAcentral
GCCUGGGUGGCUCAGUCAGUUAAGCGUCUGACUUAGGCUCAGGUCACGAUCUCACAGUUUGUGAGUUCGAGCCCCACAUCAGGCU